This 337-nucleotide ribosomal RNA is filed under the name uncultured eukaryote. Its description in RNAcentral is "partial 18S ribosomal RNA". It matches the Rfam family "Eukaryotic small subunit ribosomal RNA", at positions 1470 to 1796 of the family's 1831-position model. The record is from RNAcentral.
CCCUUAGAUGUCCGGGGCUGCACGCGCGCUACACUGAAUGAAUCAGCGUGCUAGAAAACCUUGUUUGACAUGGCUAGGUAACCCAUUGAAAAUCAUUCGUGAUUGGGAUCGGGACUUGCAAAUGUGUCCCUUGAACGAGGAAUUCCCAGUAAGCGCGAGUCAUCAGCUCGCGUUGAUUACGUCCCUGCCCUUUGUACACACCGCCCGUCGCUACUACCGAUUGGAUGGAUUAGUGAGACCCUCGGACUGGAACCUAGAGGCGGUGGUUCAUCCACCAAAUCUUGGAGCCGGGAAGAAGGUCAAACUUGUCUAUCUAGAGGAAGUAAAAGUCGUAACA